CGGUCUGUUAAGUCAGAUGUGAAAUCCCCGGGCUUAACCUGGGAACUGCAUUUGAAACUGGCAGGCUUGAGUCUCGUAGAGGGGGGUAGAAUUCCAGGUGUAGCGGUGAAAUGCGUAGAGAUCUGGAGGAAUACCGGUGGCGAAGGCGGCCCCCUGGACGAAGACUGACGCUCAGGUGCGAAAGCGUGGGGAGCAAACAGGAUUAGAUACCCUGGUAGUCCACGCCGUAAACGAUGUCGACUUGGAGGU
RNAcentral lists this ribosomal RNA (249 nucleotides) under Pantoea sp. RNAcentral's name for it is "partial 16S ribosomal RNA". It matches the Rfam family "Bacterial small subunit ribosomal RNA", at positions 576 to 824 of the family's 1533-position model. The record is from RNAcentral. Lineage: Bacteria; Pseudomonadati; Pseudomonadota; Gammaproteobacteria; Enterobacterales; Erwiniaceae.